CAGCCGCCGCGGUAAUACGUAGGGUGCAAGCGUUGUUCGGAAUUACUGGGCGUAAAGCGCGCGUAGGCGGUUACUCAAGUCAGAGGUGAAAGCCCGGGGCUCAACCCCGGAACUGCCUUUGAAACUAGGUGACUAGAAUCUUGGAGAGGUCAGUGGAAUUCCGAGUGUAGAGGUGAAAUUCGUAGAUAUUCGGAAGAACACCAGUGGCGAAGGCGACUGACUGGACAAGUAUUGACGCUGAGGUGCGAAAGCGUGGGGAGCAAACAGGAUUAGAUACCCCCGUAGUCCCUGUCUCUUAUAU
This 301-nucleotide ribosomal RNA is filed under the name uncultured bacterium. RNAcentral describes it as "partial 16S ribosomal RNA". It matches the Rfam family "Bacterial small subunit ribosomal RNA", at positions 509 to 809 of the family's 1533-position model. The record is from RNAcentral.